AUUACUUAUCAAGUGGUGACCAUGAAUAUAUACAAGACAUAACUAGUAUUCAACAUUGGUACUAUGAUACAAGUCAUAAAAAUGAAGCAUUCGAAGACUUAGAAAAUAACAUAUUUAGCGAAUUAUAACAGGUCAUGGAUUACUUUGAACAACAAAAACUACUAUACGUAGCCUGGUAAUUGAGAAUCUUAAGAAACAUUACAAAGGGUUACCCUCUAGCAGGUAUGUCCCUUACUUCUUUCACCUUGAUAAAAGUAUUCAUUGGAUGUUGAGUUUCAGAAAAUAACAGAUAUGUCCUGUCUUCCGUAAACAAGCAAAUGUGGCAGAAGAGGCUGUUAAGAGAGUAACCGGUUAAGCCCACCAUUCCAAUCUAUAUUUGAGAUAUGCACAAUGGACAUGCCAUCUUUUGCUGGUAGUCCAUCAAACACAUCAGCAGAUGCAGUUGUACCUGUACAUGUGCAAGUGCAAUAUGACACAAAACAGUGCUAUUAUGAAAGUGCUACAUAGACUCGUGAUCCUGGGUUACAAAAUGGUUUGGUAGAUAUUACUCUAGCGGAUAAUGUACAACAGAAUGAUGAAACAGGCUUGGGGAACUACACGGAAAGAACAGUUUCUAUGCAGAGAAUUGCCAUUGGAGCCAGAGACGGAUUUGGUGGGGGGGGGGGGGGGGGGGGGGGGGGGGGGGCGGGGCUGGGCUGUAGUCCCCCCCUCAGGCCCAAGAACAUUUUUUUUUAAGGAUUUUUUUUAUUUUUUUGGGGUAACUAGUUUUUUAUGUGUAAAUUUUUUUUCCCCGCGUAGUAGCUCGGUUUGAAAUUUUGUAGCCCGAUUUUGGAUCUAAUCCUGGAUCCGUCCCUUUAGAGCCUCGCUAUCUCUCCAAUUGUUCAUCUCUCUCUUCCUCCACUAUUCAGCCCCUUUCUUAACUAUGACUAAACCAACAUUGAAAAAACUAGAGCAGUGGAAAUUCCACCUAAUUCUAAUGGAAAUGGAAGCAUUUCCCAACUUAAUGAAAGUGUAAACCAUCAUUAGUUGUAUGGUAGAUGAUCAAGAUCUAUGAUAGCUUGUUCCUAGCAAUUUCUUAAUAGAUGAGAAAAUCACGUAGCUAAACUUAAUCGUAACAUACAAAAUUGACCAUUAAUCUGAACUUAAUUCAUUUGUAAGAGACUGACCAUUAACCUCAUAAACGAUUUUGCAGCAAUUCAGAAGAGAUUGACCAUUAAUGUCAUAAACGAUUUUUUGAAAAAGAUGAGAUAAUCAACUAGUCGUCUUCCACAUUGUCCAACCAUCCCUCCCGAUUUUCCAGCAAUUCAGAAAAAGUGCAAGGUCCAUAAAUAGUUAAAUAUUCAUUUGAACUUAAUUCAUUCAGACUUCAUUGAGAUAUAUUUUUAGCAUGAAAUUCAGGUAAAAUUCAGGUAAAGUAUACAAUAUACAGACAGGUAGGGCAUUAAAGUUCAGGUGAAAAUCUUUCAAAAAUCACCAAUUUGGAGAUAUAUUUUUGCGCAUAAUUUGAGGACAAAAAACUGAAUUUUACAAAGAAAAUCAUAAAAUUUAAACUUACAUCUUCUUCUUCCAUGUAAUACAACUUGAAAUUUGAAAGGUUUGGAUUUUUUGGAGUAAAAUUGCAAGCUGUAAAGAACGGCUGUCGGGUUGCUUUGCUACAGGUAGGGCUUAUGUCUGUGAAGGAGAAUGAGAUAAUGGGAUUUUAUAUAACGUAUGUGGACCAGGCGGUUUCUUUGUAAUUGGGCUAGCGGUUUAGUGAAAAACCGAUGGAUCCUUUAGAUUUUUACCGGGUCAGCAGCAGAGUUAAAAAAUUAGGCGGCUCAAACUGAAC
RNAcentral lists this long non-coding RNA (1828 nucleotides) under Olea europaea subsp. europaea. The record is from RNAcentral. Lineage: Eukaryota; Viridiplantae; Streptophyta; Magnoliopsida; Lamiales; Oleaceae.